Molecule: ribosomal RNA, 286 nt
Filed under: Colletotrichum graminicola
Lineage: Eukaryota; Fungi; Ascomycota; Sordariomycetes; Glomerellales; Glomerellaceae
Description: partial 18S ribosomal RNA
Rfam family: Eukaryotic small subunit ribosomal RNA
Source: RNAcentral
CCGCAAUUAUACAGCGAAACUGCGAAUGGCUCAUUAUAUAAGUUAUCCGUUUAUUGAUAGUACCUUACUACUUGGGAUAACCGUGGUAAUUCUAGAGCUAAUACAUGCUAAAAACCCCGACUUCGGAANGGGUGUAUUUAUUAGAUUAAAAACCAAUGCCCUUCGGGGCUCACUGGUGAUUCAUAAUAACUUCUCGAAUCGCAUGGCCUUGCGCCGGCGAUGGUUCAUUCAAAUUUCUUCCCUAUCAACUUUCGAUGCUAGAGUAGUGUUCUAGCAUGGUUACAAC